UACGUAGGGGGCAAGCGUUGUCCGGAAUCAUUGGGCGUAAAGCGCGUGUAGGCGGAUCUUUAAGUCAGGGGUGAAAUCCCAAGGCUCAACCUUGGAACUGCCUUUGAUACUGGGGAUCUCGAGUCCGGAAGAGGUGAGUGGAACUGCGAGUGUAGAGGUGAAAUUCGUAGAUAUUCGCAAGAACACCAGUGGCGAAGGCGGCUCACUGGUCCGGUACUGACGCUGAGGUGCGAAAGCGUGGGGAGCAAACAGG
RNAcentral lists this ribosomal RNA (253 nucleotides) under uncultured bacterium. RNAcentral describes it as "partial 16S ribosomal RNA". It matches the Rfam family "Bacterial small subunit ribosomal RNA", at positions 524 to 776 of the family's 1533-position model. The record is from RNAcentral.